This is a non-coding RNA of Ornithorhynchus anatinus (platypus), 52 nucleotides long. NCBI's taxonomy places the organism in Eukaryota, Metazoa, Chordata, Mammalia, Monotremata, Ornithorhynchidae. The record is from Rfam.
GCUUUCUGAACAUCUGGUGUAGCUACAGAGAAACCACGUCCCUUCAGAGAGC